GGGACAAGGCGCGAAGAUUGGGUUGAGGAAUGAGUGAGGUGUAAAAAACUUUUUAUCAUCAUCUCGUUGGACACUCCCAACCGCCCUAAGUAGUUGGGAGAGCUGGCUGGUCUUGGAAGGGAGCCGAUCCACGGCUUGUCAAUGUCACAGUCCACCCAAGUUUUUCCUGAUUCCAAAAAAAUUCUUAAUGGACGAAAAUAUGCUUUCAGAUCACGAUCAGAGGUUUCUGCUGGAGGCCACCUCCUCAAAGCACAUCCAAAAAAGGGAGAGCUCCUAGCCUUCCUCCAUCCCCCAAUUCACACGAGCAUCCAGGAAAUAACCUGACAAUUUUAUUUACACGGAUGUGUGGGUGUCUGGCUGGAUUGCCUAGCUGCGUCCUGGGAAGCGGGAUUGCUGAAGGGAAGAAGGAAGGGGUGAUUUUUGGAGUUCCCUGAGAUCAUGCCAGAUGGUAAAGAGCUCUGGACUGGGAGCCAAGACAUCUGGUCCCCUACUAGAGUGACCUCGAGAAGAGAUGCUUUGUGUAGAAUAAAGGCCCUGGAAUUUGAAACCCCUCCCAGAUCUGAGAUUGUCCACUUCUUGAGGGUAAAGACCCAGUUUGGGCAAGAUACUUAUCCUCUGCUUGUCUCAGUUUCUUCAAUGAUAAAAUGUAGAUAGUAAUACCACCUACCUCCCAGGGCUGUUGUGAGGAUUCCAUAUUAAAUGCUUUGUGGACCUUGAAGUGCUCUAUAAGCUUGGGAGAACUGUAAGGAGGAGCAGAGAUUUAGCUCUCAGCUAAUUUUGGAAUUCACAAUGGUAUUGGAGAGGGAGAUCCCAAACAAAGAAUCAAGAACAAUAGACCAGGGAGUGAUUUAAUUUUUUUUAGAAUUUAAUACCUAUUUUGUACAAGACCUUCAGCUUCAGGCUAGAAAUACAAGAAUGUAAAAAAAGUCCCCAACAGAAUUGACAUGCUACUAGAGGUUCCACAAUUUCCACUAGGAAAAUUAGGGGAUAAUAAGCAAAUUAGGAAAACAAGGAAUAGGUUACUUGUCAGACCUAUUACUUUGUAAUAAUGCCUUGUUUGUAAUAUCAGUCAGUGAAUGAAUGGGAUGAAUAAUUUUGAGAACAUUACAUUUUAAAAGGUUUUGCACAAGUCAAACCAAUGCAACCAAAAUUAGAAGAAAAACAAAGAUGGGAAACCAUUUUUACAACAAUGGUUUCUAAUAAAGGCCUCAUUUAAGGGGAAAAGAACAUUUUUCAACUUAAAGGGGGCCCAAUGAAGACUUCAUAGAAUAGUUGGCACCUGAGCAGGAUCUUGAAGUGAAAAAAAG
This 1307-nucleotide long non-coding RNA is filed under the name Sarcophilus harrisii (Tasmanian devil). RNAcentral's name for it is "lncRNA (ENSSHAG00000031924.1)". The record is from RNAcentral. Lineage: Eukaryota; Metazoa; Chordata; Mammalia; Dasyuromorphia; Dasyuridae.